AUUGAACGCUGGCGGAAUGCUUUACACAUGCAAGUCGAACGGUAGAGGGGGCAACCCCUUGAGAGUGGCGAACGGGUGAGUAAUAUAUCGGAACGUGCCCAGUCGUGGGGGAUAACGUAGCGAAAGUUACGCUAAUACCGCAUACGAUCUAUGGAUGAAAGCGGGGGACCGUAAGGCCUCGCGCGAUUGGAGCGGCCGAUAUCAGAUUAGGUAGUUGGUGGGGUAAAGGCUCACCAAGCCAACGAUCUGUAGCUGGUCUGAGAGGACGACCAGCCACACUGGAACUGAGACACGGUCCAGACUCCUACGGGAGGCAGCAGUGGGGAAUUUUGGACAAUGGACGCAAGUCUGAUCCAGCCAUUCCGCGUGCAGGACGAAGGCCUUCGGGUUGUAAACUGCUUUUGUACAGAACGAAAAGGUCUCUAUUAAUACUAGGGGCUCAUGACGGUACUGUAAGAUAAGCACCGGCUAACUACGUG
Molecule: ribosomal RNA, 479 nt
Filed under: uncultured bacterium
Lineage: Bacteria
Description: bacterial SSU rRNA
Rfam family: Bacterial small subunit ribosomal RNA
Source: RNAcentral